Molecule: ribosomal RNA, 654 nt
Filed under: uncultured bacterium
Lineage: Bacteria
Description: bacterial SSU rRNA
Rfam family: Bacterial small subunit ribosomal RNA
Source: RNAcentral
ACGAAGCACUUAAGAAUGAUUCUUCGGAUGAUUUCUCUUGUGACUUAGUGGCGGACGGGUGAGUAACGCGUGGGUAACCUGCCUCACACAGGGGGAUAACAGUUGGAAACGACCGCUAAUACCGCAUAACCCGCUAGGGCCGCAUGGCCCGGACGGAAAAGAUUUAUCGGUGUGAGAUGGACCCGCGUUGGAUUAGCUAGUUGGCAGGGUAACGGCCUACCAAGGCGACGAUCCAUAGCCGGCCUGAGAGGGUGAACGGCCACAUUGGGACUGAGACACGGCCCAAACUCCUACGGGAGGCAGCAGUGGGGAAUGUUGCACAAUGGGGGAAACCCUGAUGCAGCGACGCCGCGUGAGUGAAGAAGUAUUUCGGUAUGUAAAGCUCUAUCAGCAGGGAAGAAAAUGACGGUACCUGACUAAGAAGCCCCGGCUAACUACGUGCCAGCAGCCGCGGUAAUACGUAGGGGGCAAGCGUUAUCCGGAUUUACUGGGUGUAAAGGGAGCGUAGACGGCUAAGCAAGUCAGAAGUGAAAGGCUGGGGCUCAACCCCGGGACUGCUUUUGAAACUGUUUGGCUAGAGUGCUGGAGAGGUAAGCGGAAUUCCUAGUGUAGCGGUGAAAUGCGUAGAUAUUAGGAGGAACACCAGUGGCGAAG